This is a long non-coding RNA of Xiphophorus maculatus (southern platyfish), 300 nucleotides long. RefSeq lists it as uncharacterized. The record is from RefSeq and is a predicted model, not a curated record. The transcript has 3 exons. Lineage: Eukaryota; Metazoa; Chordata; Actinopteri; Cyprinodontiformes; Poeciliidae.
GCAGAAACAAAACUCUGAUCACACUCUACCGACAACGCUACGUGUUGCUGUGCCAACUCACACUUAAACCCACAAAAGAAGAGGAAACUGAGGAACAAGUGGUGCAGGAAAGCCAACAUACUUCAGCUGACUCAGUGAUUGUAACCCCCCUACUGACAGCUGAUGUCAUUUGCCUGAAGUACAGCAUUCCCAGUGGCUGACUGCACACUAGGACAGGUACCGCAGGAACACAGGCCGGUUUUUUCUUUUUAUCUGUCUUUCCUUGUCCUUCUCACCCCCACCGGCCUCCCUGGGAUCCAU